AACGAACGCUGGCGGCAGGCCUAACACAUGCAAGUCGAACGCUCCGCAAGGGAGUGGCGCACGGGUGAGUAACACGUGGGAACCUACCUUCUGGUACGGAACAACCAAGGGAAACUUUGGCUAAGACCGUAUACGACCUCCGGGUGAAAGAUUGAUCGCCGGAAGAGGGGCCCGCGUCCGAUUAGGUAGUUGGUGAGGUAACGGCUCACCAAGCCUUCGAUCGGUAGCUGGUCUGAGAGGAUGACCAGCCACACUGGGACUGAGACACGGCCCAGACUCCUACGGGAGGCAGCAGUGGGGAAUCUUGCGCAAUGGCCGAAAGGCUGACGCAGCGACGCCGCGU
RNAcentral lists this ribosomal RNA (343 nucleotides) under uncultured bacterium. Its description in RNAcentral is "bacterial SSU rRNA". It matches the Rfam family "Bacterial small subunit ribosomal RNA", at positions 29 to 402 of the family's 1533-position model. The record is from RNAcentral.